UUUUUUUUUUUUGAGACAGGAUCUGGCUCUGUUGCCCAGGCUGGAGUCCAGUGGCACAAUCUCAGCUCACUGCAACCUCCGCCUCCCAGGCUCAAGAGAUUCUCCUCCCACCUCAGCCUCCCAAGUAGCUGGGAUUACAGGCAUGCACCACCAUGCCUGCCUAAUUUUUCUAUUUUUUGUAGAGAUGGGGGUCUCACUUUGUUGCCCAAGCUGGUCUCGAACUCCUGACCUCAGGUGAUCUGCACAACUCAGCCUACCAAAGUGCUGGAAUUACAGACAGGAGCCACCACACCCAGCCAACUUCCUAAUUUCUACAUUCCCUCCCUUGCUCUUUGAGAUUUCCUUUCAGUAAGGAACUUUUCUAUGCUCUUAAUAUAUUCCUUUUUAGUAGGAACGCAGAAGUAUUAGACUGAAUGGAAAAGCACUUGCCAUCUCUGGGCUGGAGGCCAUAAAUUUGAAAUGCCUCUUAUAUCACAUAUUGUAGAGGUCAUGUACGUCUGUGGCAACAGGCAGUUUUCCUAUUCACUCUUCAUUUGCUGCUGUCUAAGUUGACGUCUCUUCCCAAUACAAAUUCACUUACACCUCCUGCCUUUGCAGUUCUGGUAUUCACUUUACUAUGUAAUAGAAGUAGCAUGUUGCUGCCAGAAUACAAGCAUUGCUUUUGGCAAAUUAAAGCGCAUGUCAUCUCUUAAUACACUAGAAAGGGGAAAUAAGUACCCAAGUCCAAGUCUAAAAGUUUAGUCCUUUUCCAUGCAGAUUUGUGCACAUGUGACAGAGGGUAUCCAGCCUGUCUAGUGAUUGUUCUUUAGGGGUGGACCACUGUUAUGUGCUGCUAAUCACUGGCUGUAGUCCCAAAAGAGCCUUGUAAAAAUGCUAUCCCCUAUGAAACAGCAGAGGAACACAAAAUAAAAUCUCAUUUUAUAAACCAUUUACUAUGGCUUUGUAACAACUGCAUACCCAUACAUUAAGAAACGGGUGAAUUUAUUACUUUCUAAGGUUUAUUGAUAUCUCCCUUUUAUCUUAUGUAAAUUGUAGUAACAAUGCCUAUAUUUCUGCAUUGUGAUCCACUUUUUUAGGGGUGCCUGGAAAUGUACAGAAUUGGACUGCAUUUCUUAGAGUAUUUUACUAUAGAUCAAUUUCAUGGGCCAUCUCUUCCUCAGAUGUAAAUGAUCUCUGGUGAAGUGUUACAUGGAAUAAAGUGGACAUUUUAAAACUAAAAGUAAUAUAAAUAGUCUAAAUACACCAAUUAAAAGAGAGACUAGAUUUUAGAAGAUGAUCCCAUUAAAUGCCAUAUAAAAGGUUGGCACCCAUGCCAUGGAAUCCUCCUCAGCAAGGUAACAAAGCAAACUACUCAAACACCCAGCAACUUGGAUAGGCCUCAUGGGCGUCACGCAGAAUAAAAAAUUCCAAUCUCUCACACACUGUAUGACUCCAUUUAUAAUAACAUUUCCAAAAUGACAAAGUUAUAGUGAAGGAUAAUAGACUAGGUUCCCAGGGGUUAGGGAUGAUGGGGGAUGCAGGGGUUGGUGUGACUAUCGACACCACAGGGGAGAUCUUUGUGGUGAUAGAAUUGUUCUAUAGUGGUGGUUACAAGAAUCUAGACAUGAUAAAAGGACACAGAACUAUCCACACUCAUAAUACCAAUGUCAAUUUCCUGAUUUUGAUAUUGUACAUUAUAUACACAUAAGUUAUCCCAAGAAGUAACUGUCAGGGAAAGAUGGGUGAAGUUUGCACUGUAUCUCUCUGUCUUUGCAGCUUCCUUUAGUUCUACAAUUAUUUUUAAAUAGGUUUUUGAAAAAGCAAAGCAGAAAAGAACCAACGAACAAAUAAUUAUUAUUAAGGGCAAAAAGAAAAUAGGGCAUGUUCAUCCAGUGGGUCAUUCAACUGAAAGGACUUCACCACAACGUUUGUCAGAGGAGCCCAGAACACUGCCUUACUAAGAGGAUGUGUAACAGUACUCUUUUGUCUACUGUGUAUUCAUACAACAAGAUUAACUGGAUGGGUUCAUAAGAAGACAAAUGCUAAAGGUUGAUGUACACACAAAAGUGAUUAGAAAGAGAGCGAAUGUUAAAAAAUUUUUCAUUGACUUGAUCAUUCUAAUUGCUGUUUAUAAACCUAAUAAAAUGUUUUACAACUGAAAAGAUGGCCAUUCUCUUUUCAAAAUUGUUAGCUGUCAGUUUUCAAAAACUGAUAUUUGCAUUUGAUGAUUCAAGUGCAGAAGAACCAGAAGUAGUGAUAAGCUGGCUGGGUGUGGUGGCUCAUGCCUAUAAAAAAAUUCCAGCACUUUGGGAGGCUAAGAGAGGCAGAUCAUUUGAGGCCAAGAGUUUCAAGACCAGCCUGGCCAACACGGUGAAAACCCGUCUCUACUAAAAAUACAGAAAUUAGCCAGGUGUGGUGAUGUGCACCUGUAAUCCCAGCUACUUGGGAGGCUGAGGCAGAAAAAAAUCACUUGAACCCAGGUGGCAGAGGUUGCAGUGAGCUGAGAUUGCAUCACUGCACUGCAGCCUGGGCAACAGAGCAAGACUCCGUCUCAAAAAAUAAAAUUAAUUAAAAAUAAAUAAAUAUGCUCUGAAAUCUCCUCACAUUUGCUUACAUUAAUGCUCAUUAAUCCUCUCUUCUUUACACAGAUCCCAGUAUCAACGCUCCUUUUAUUCAUCUCCUGACCAGGAACACGAAACUGUUACCCAUGCCUUUUCAUUUUCCCCUUCAUUAUCCUCUGUACCUUACAUUUCUAAAUGGAAACCCUUCAAUGACUACCUACUUAACUCUCCAACAUGAUCUCCUCACGUUGCCCAGGAUCUUUCUUGCUUCAGUAUUACCAAGCUGCUUGGAGUGCUCCAAGCCCACUUACUAUGAGUUUCAUUGCUCUACGUUCAUGCUGUCUGCCUACCAGAUCCACCUUCUCUUUCUUUACUGGAAAAAAUUCCAUGCAUCCUUCAAAAUACUCUUUCAUUGUCUUCCUGUGAAGUUUUCUCUGACCUCUAUCCUCUCUUUAGCUCCUUUUUAUCUUGUUAACUACACUAUUUUAUAUCAACACAAACUGUACUAUAAUUACAUACUUAUCUCUUUUUCCCUCCUCAGCUAUGAGUUCCUUAACAGCAGGUUUGUCAGGAGUUCCUAAGACUAUCCCCAGGUUCAGUGAUUCACUUGAAGGACUCACAGGACUCACCAUUGAGUUGCAGCACAGGGAAAAGACACACGGAGAGAAGUUUGGAAGAAACCAGCUCAAAGAGUCCCAGGUGUGCUGGUGCCUAACCCUGGCUGCCAAUCAGAAUUACCUAGGGGCACGUUCGAGAACUUCCCAGGGGAUGUCUAACUUCUAGCAUAACAGAGUGAGAAGGCUCACAAAUCCUCUUCCCACAAAGCAACUAUAAAGCUGGUCAAGAGUCAAAAACAACCUAGUUGGUGCUCUGGAAAGCAAGCAAGACAUUCAACAAACUGAGAAGUGUUUAUUCAUGAAACCCACUGGACUCCAGCACUUCUCCCGAUGUUACAGCUCCUCUACAAUCAACAGCGGAAUGAGAGGGGAGAAAAAAAUCAUACCAGUCUCAUGAGAGCUAAAAUGACCCUCCCAAGAUGAAAGAGCAAGCUACAAGAGAACCAAGGUCUCCAGACUCUAGCGUCUCCCCAGUGAUAGCACAGCCAUUAUUCCUCAGGAAAAGAAAACCAUGAACAGCAUCUGGAGAGGUCAAUCACUUCCACAACCACCCUGCCUGUCCCUUCUGAGAAGGGACCAAAUCCUACCAU
Long non-coding RNA from Homo sapiens (human), 3747 nucleotides. RefSeq lists it as uncharacterized. The record is from RefSeq and is a predicted model, not a curated record. NCBI's taxonomy places the organism in Eukaryota, Metazoa, Chordata, Mammalia, Primates, Hominidae. The transcript is spliced from 3 exons.